AACGUAGGAGGCGAGCGUUAUCCGGAUUUACUGGGUGUAAAGCGCGUGCAGGCGGUCCUUCAAGUUCCGUGUGAAAGCGCCUGGCUCAACCGGGCGAGGACGCGGAAAACUGAGGGACUGGAGGCAGGGAGAGGUCUAUGGAAUUCCGGGUGUAGUGGUGAAAUGCGUAGAGAUCCGGAGGAACACCAGUGGCGAAGGCGGUAGACUGGCCCUGACCUGACGCUCAGACGCGAAAGCACGGGGAGCGAACGGG
This 253-nucleotide ribosomal RNA is filed under the name uncultured bacterium. RNAcentral's name for it is "partial 16S ribosomal RNA". It matches the Rfam family "Bacterial small subunit ribosomal RNA", at positions 524 to 776 of the family's 1533-position model. The record is from RNAcentral.